This 4133-nucleotide long non-coding RNA is filed under the name Homo sapiens (human). RNAcentral describes it as "long non-coding RNA NONHSAT166019.1". The record is from RNAcentral. Lineage: Eukaryota; Metazoa; Chordata; Mammalia; Primates; Hominidae.
UGAAAUAUUAGUAUUUAUUUUGAUUAUAAUAACUCACAAAAUUUCAGGUUACAAAAGGUGCACAAGGAAACUUGAGAACAUAAUGCACAUAUUAUAGUUCUGGUUAUGGUUUGGUAUAUAUAUGCGUAUAUUGAAGCCUAUCAAAUUGUGUACUUUGAGUAUAUGUAGUUUAUUUGCUAAUAGUAAGUACGUUAACAAAUUUAUUAAAAAGUCAAUGACCAGUACAUUUAAAAUACAUGAAUAUUCCUGCAUCAAAAUUUUAACUCAGUAAAAUCCAAUAAAAAUGUUGACGCAAAUAAGAUCUUGAGCUUUUAUUUCCAUUUAUCAUUUUUAGCCCUCAUCCAUUCGGGUAUAUGUCAUGAUAAUAAUGUGCAAUCAAAAGUGACUUCAGAUUUGAAGAGCGAUACUCUGUAUGUGCAGGUAUUAAAUAUAAUGAUAGAUUCACAUUUAAUUGUAGAAUGCAAGUUCACUGUGGGUACAGAAAACGAGGUCUAAUAUGCCAAUGACACAAACUCACCUAAAAAUUACUGUGAACAACCAUUACAAGAUUGCCUACAACUAAAUUUCCACUUUUAGGAAAUAAAUUUUAUACUUUAAAUACCAGUUUAGCUUCUAUAGAGACUAUGUAAAUCUGUUUCAACUCUGUUACAACUGCUUUCUGAUAUCUUCUCCUUUAAAAACACGUAUAUUUUUAUAAAUAGAUAUAAAUUCAUAUACUACAUAUACUUAUGAAUAACUAUCCAUACAAAGAGCAAUUUCUUUUAAUCUCAAAGUAUUGUUUUAAAGGUAGAUGAUAUACAUGUCUAUUUUUUGGUCCAGUUAUAUAUUUUCCAGUUUUGGAAACAAUGCUUUGCAUAAAACCCAUGCAAUUUCAGUAAUCAGAAUUUAAAAUGAAAACUAUAUAUUUUCAACAAAUCUCCUUGUUUAUCUGUACAAAGCAAUACUGAAUUCUUAAUAAACAUCUAUGGUUUUUAAUGAUAUAAUUAAUACUAUUAGGAAAGAAAACAUUAAUGACAUAAGAGAAAGUAAAGACAAGUAUUCAUUUUGCAAUGGUGCCUAUGCAUAUGGUGACAGCGUAGAAAGCAAUGUCUGCAUCAGUGUAAUGCCCCCAAUUUCUAAAAUUUGAAAUAUUAAGAUAAUUAGUUGAAUAACACUCAGAAUUGUUUGACUCCAAGCAGAGGUUCCAGCCUCAUUAUGAUACUGAAAUUAUUUUACCCAGUUCUUCCCCAUUGGUUUUUAUUCCAUAGUCUGAAGCAUAGAAUGACUAGUCACUGAAUCAGAUUAGAAAACAUAAUGAACACUGCAGGAGCACUGUUGUACCAAGAAGCCUGACGGUCAAAGAAGAACUGCACUUGAUCUUACGCACAAUUAAGCACAGCACCAGACGUUAAGUACUCCAGGGUAGGUCUUCCAUGUUUCACAAUUUAGUUCAAGUCUGAGAAAUCAGUCUGGUAUUCAACUACCUAUAAGUAUGUAUAUAUUAUACUUUUAUGUAUUUAUUUGUAGAUACAUACAUGUAUGUAUGUACACAUAUAUACAUAUAUAUCAUACUUUUAUGUAAUACAUAUGUAUUUAUCAUACUAUUUUAUGUUUCAUGAUGUAAACUCUGUUAUAUCUUAGAAAUAAGACUAUUGGUAACAUAAUAACAUAUUCAUUUAAAAAUAUUUUAGUCACAGAUUCUUAUUCAUUGCUGUCUUGAUUAGCAUAAUACUAAGACUGCCAUGUAAUAUGUUGAUUAAAUAAAAUUCAUAUUAAUAAACUGUAUUCAUUUACUUUUGGGAAAACAUCUGAAGAACAUGAUUCCUUGAGCUGUAUUUAUCCAAUGUUGUGUUUAAUUAGUUGGGAGUGAAAUUCAAAUAUGAAACAUAAAAUCAAAGGCUUGUUAAAAAAGGUUGUGCAUGAAAUUUUAUGACUACUAUUGUUUCUCGAAAUAAUAUGUUAGAUAAUAAAAUUUUAAAACAGGGAAAACUUUUUAAAUUAAGUUUUGCUAUGAAGCUUUAGGAAAAAAUAAUGUGGAGAAAAUUGUAAUGUAAGUGAAACAUAAUAGUGAAACACACCAGUGAAAUUAACACUUCAAUUAUUAAACCUUGUACCAACCUUAAGUUCUACAAACCUAUGAUUGAACUCAGUGUUUCCUCACUAUGACCCCUCAAAAGCUCUUGGAAGUAUAUCAGUUCCAUUAAACUUCACUCAAGCUCCAAAACUUUAAUAAUCUUGCUUAAGUAACCCCUAAUUCCCCACUUCAGGCUAAUAUUAAACUUAUCUUCUCUUCUACAAAUACUCUCCUAAAGGAUUUCAUUCAAUCCCCUUAUGGCUUAAAAAACAUCUAUACACUGAUGACUCCAAAAUAUGUAUCACCAGUCCCUAUUGACUUUUUCAUGAAUUCCAGUUCAAUAUAAUCUACUGAAAACAUAACAUUUCCACCAAGAUACUUAGCUGGCAUUUCAAACUAUACAUGUUCCAAACCAAACUUUGGUUUACUCUCCCAUGCCUGCUCCCAUUCUGACUUUUCUGUCUCAAUUUACAAACCUAUCAUCCAUCUUAUCAACUUUUUUCACACUUCAGAUUGAAGAUCCCGUCUUCAAUCUUACUGCCAUUAUCUCCAACUUAUGUGCGUUAUUCAACCAUUUAUUUUCACCUCCUUAGUUCCUAGUCACUAUUAUCUCUUUUGCAACAGCAUAUCAACCUGUCUCUAAGUUUGCAUCUGAUCUACUGAAUUCUAUUUUCCAAAUAGCUAUUAGAAUAAUUUUAAAUGUUAAGUCUGAAGAUCAUCUUACACGGUGAUCAAAAUUUCCCUUUACUUUCCAUCAAACUCAGAAUCAUAUAUCAUACCUACAUGGUUAAUGAAACACUAAAGGACCUACUUUCUCUUACAUCUUAGAACCCAUCAUCCACCAUUUCCCCUCAAUCGUUUCUGCUAAGCUACUAGCACCUGUUGUCACCUCCAGGGGAGGAAUGUUAUUGCGUGAAGGAUAGCCAAAAAGCAAAGAAUGUAACAAUGUCUACCACCAGGACCAGUGAUCCCAGCAUGUAAACUCACUACGUUGUUUGCAGGUGUCAGGGUUACGAAGAGAGGCACAAAUUACCCAGACAUUGGAUGGAACGUUUUACUCAUUUAGCAAGAGACAGAGCAGGUUUAGCCUUCAUAGUAAGCCUCGGUCCCCCAUGGCUAUUGCCUCUUCUCCACAAACUUCAUGUACUGCAGGUAAAAUAUCUAUUUCUCUCCCCAUAAGAAAUAGUAAUAGCAGUGGGAUGGGCCAGGUGCUGUAUCAUGCACAUGUUUUACCAAAACAAAAAAGUGUACAUCAAGCCCAGAUCAUGGAAAGACAUGCCCCCAAAAGAUGAUACAUUCAGCACAGCCUGCGAGGCCUCUUUAUCUCCAUGUAAGGAAAUGUUUUCUCUGGGCCUGAGGCUCACUUCUAUGAAACCUUGUAAAGGUUGUCAGGCCAUGUGUGACUGUCAAUCCCCAAAAAAACACUUUUGGCCCUGGAUUGGCUACUGAAAUAGCAGAUAAAGUACAUAAAAUUUGGUAGGGCCACCUCUUGUCCCCAAAUUUGUAAGGAGAGUUGUGUCCAGUGAACCCCUGAACAACACUUUAUAGAUGCAGUUUCCUCACAGACCCUCUGUCAUUUUGAGACAUCAGGGUCACUAGGAGAACCAGACCCAGGAGGAUGAUGAGGCCUCCCUGGCAGAUAAUUCUUAACCAGGAACCCCAAGUGCCUGAAUUAAAGCAAUUAAAUAGAUCACAAAAUGAGCUUCACAGGUAGGAGGGGUGUACAGCUGAUGAUCUCCAGCCUGAGCAUGGAUCUCCUCCAGCUCAGUUUCUACCUUCUCUAAACUAUUGAUAUUUACACAGCAAAGGGUGUUGGUAAAAGCACAAAUGCCAACCUGUUCUGCUAGCAGACAAUGAGGCCUGUUCAAUUGUCCAUUACCACAUUGACUAGUGAGUUUAUUGGGUUUUGUUGAUCUUGUAUGGACUAAGUAGGAUUAUUAGCUAUUUCCACCAUGAUUAAGGACAGAUUGUAUACCAUUUGUCCUACAGCUUGUACACCUAUGUCUGGUAUUAAAAUAGGAGCAGCAAAAUAAAACCAGCUGUGAGUUUGUACUACCAGGAGGACGUUAUAAACCAGUCA